GUGCUUGCUUUGGUAGCACCUAUUCUAAAAUUGGAAUGAUACGGAGAAGAUUAGCAUAGCCCCUGAGCAAGGUGACACGCAAAUUUGUAGGAAUGUAGUUAUUACA
Molecule: small nuclear RNA, 106 nt
Organism: Lutra lutra (Eurasian river otter)
Lineage: Eukaryota; Metazoa; Chordata; Mammalia; Carnivora; Mustelidae
Source: RefSeq, a predicted model, not a curated record